This 2881-nucleotide long non-coding RNA is filed under the name Strigops habroptila (Kakapo). RNAcentral describes it as "lncRNA (ENSSHBG00005004365.1)". The record is from RNAcentral. Lineage: Eukaryota; Metazoa; Chordata; Aves; Psittaciformes; Psittacidae.
UUUUUCCUUUUCUGCAGACUCAAAACUCAAAUUUUUACUAACAGGUACUUGUUGCAUAGUCAAAAUCAUACCAUAAUUGCCUGCCACUCGUUUUGCUUCUGUAUCAGCUGCAUUAUUUCCCCUAAUUUGAUAACUUGUACCUCGCUGGUGUCCCUUUAUAUGUACAACUGCUAUUUUAUUCGGCAUUUUCAAUGCCCCCAGAACUCGCCGAAUUAAUUCCGGGUGUAUCAGUUCUUUUCCCUGUGAGUUAACAAAUCCUCUUUCCUCCCAUAUUUUUCCAAAAGUGUGUACUACUCCGAACGCAUAGCGUGAGUCUGUAUAUAUAGUUCCAUCCUUUCCCUUCAGUGACACUAAUGCUUUCCACAAUGCAUACAGCUCACAGGCUUGAGCCGACCAGCUGGCACUCAGGGGGCCUGAUUCUAUUGUCUUAAAUUCUCCUUUUUCCAACUUAACGAUGGCAUAUCCGGACAAUCGUUUACCUUCCACUAUUCGUGAUGACCCAUCUAUAAAUAAUACUUCUCCACAUUGUAGUUCUUCUUCUUCUAAGUCUGGCCUAAUGCGUGUCUGCUGUUCAAUUGUUUGAAAACAAUUGUGCAAUAGUUCAUUACCUUCUCCUGGGUACAAAAAUUCAGCGGGGUUAACUGCUCCAAUAGUUUUCAAAGAUAGUUUAGGGGAUUCUAUAAGUAUUCCCUCAUACUUUAAUAAUCGGCUAUCUGUAAGCCAUUUUUCUGCUUUUUGUUGUAACACUCCCCUGAUGUUAUGAGGCGCAUAUAAGACAACUUCUCCAUUAAAGGUAAUGCGAUUCGUUUCCUCAAGUAAUAAGGCAGCAGCAACAAUGAUUUGUAAACAACUCGGCCAACCCCUGCUCACAGGAUCCAACAGCUUUGAUAGGUAUGCCACCGGUUUCUUUUGUCCGGCCCAUUCCUGAGUUAAUACUCCGAAUGCCGUUCCUUCAUGUAUGUUAACAAAUAAAUGGAAUGGCCGCUUUAAAUCUGGUAGGCUUAAAACCGGUGCUUGACUUAGCUCCCUUUUGAGACUGACAAACUGCUCUUGAUCCUGAGGGGUCCACUUGGGUAUUUUGUCUUUAGACAGUUGUUCAUAUAAAAAUUUAACUUUAAAGCUGUAGUUCUCUAUCCAUUGCCUACAAUACCCAAAUAGCCCUAAUGCCUGCCGAAUUUGCCUCUUAGUGACAGGCAUAGGUAAUUCCAGAAUUCCUUUAAUGCGCUCUGGAUCCAAUAUCUUCUUGCCGUUAAACAAAUAAUGCCCCAAAUAUUUCACUUUUUCCUCCACAAAUUGUAACUUUUCUUGUGAUACUCGUAGUCCCUUUUGUGCAAGAAAGUUUAGGAGUCGAAUGCUUUCUUUCCUUACAUCCUCCUUAUUAUUCCCUGCUAUGAGCAGAUCAUCUACAUACUGUAACAGCACGUUUCCCGUUUGUACCUGGUAUUCUUUUAAGAGCUCUUCCAGGGCCUGUCCAAACAGAUUAGGGGACUCAGUGAACCCUUGGGGAAGCACAGUCCAUCUCAAUUGCUGUCUACGGCCUGUCUCUAUGUCUUCCCAUUCAAAGGCAAAAUAAUCACGGCAUUCUUCUGCCAGUGGACAGGCCCAAAAGGCAUCCUUUAAGUCAGCCACACUAUACCAGGAGUUAUGGGGUCCUAGCUUGCUUAGCAGUGUGUAUGGAUUUGCUACUACAGGGAAUCGGGUGAUAGUUCUUUUGUUUAUUUCCCUUAAAUCAUGUACGAGUCGAUAUUUCCCAUUUGGUUUCUUUACAGGCAGAAUGGGGGUGUUAAAGGGUGACAUACAAGGCUCUAAGAUUCCUUGUGCUAACAAUCGAUCAAUUUCUGGUUUUAAUCCCCUCCGUCCUUCUAGGGAUAUGGGAUAUUGCCUUACCCUCACAGGUAUGUGGGGUUCGGAAAGUUGGAUUUUAAUCGGUGGGAUUUUCAGUCUACUAAUUGUGUCCGGAGAGUACCAGACAUCGGGGUUAAUUUGUUUUUGAUCAUCCACGGUUAAAGGAUAAGCAGACACUGUUAGCUCCUGAUUUUUCACUUUAAUUUCUAAUUGCAAUUCAACAAUUAAAUCUCGUCCUAACAGAUUAAAUUCUGCUUCAGGGACGAGCAAGAGUUCACCCAUUCCAAAUUUAUUUUCAGUUUCGAAUACCACAUUUUUGAUUUUGCUUACUUUAAAGGGUUCUCCUUUUGCCCCAAUUACUUGUACCUUUUCAGGGGAAACUUUACAUCCCUCAGGUAUUUGCUUAAUAGUUGAUUUCUCAGCCCCAGUGUCUACUAAAAAGGUGAACUCUUGUUUAUGGGGACCUAUUUUUAAUUUUAUCAAGGGCUCAUGAUGACUCCGGUCCCCUAAGAUAUAGAGCCCCUGACUCUCCUAUUCCGUUUUCAAUAUUCCCUCAUCCCUGAUCCUUUCUCUGCAAUUCUUCUUUAUAUGUCCCUUCUUUCCACAGUAAAAACAACAUCUCUGCUCCUUCUUUACUAUUACGUUCCCUUGUUUCGUUCCAGCAGAUCUGUGUUCACCAGUUCGUCCUUUGCGAUCCUCUCUGACCGCUGCUACCAUCAUUUUUACUUGUCGCUUGUUGCUCUCUUCUUCCCGCCUUACGUAGACUUUCUGAGCUUCCCUCAAUAAUUCAUCCAACCCUCUAUUCUGCCAGUCUUCUAACUUUUCAAUCUUCUUUCUAAUAUCUUCCCAUGAUUUUGCCACAAACUGAGUUUUGAGGAGCGCUUGCCCUAAAGGGUCGUCUGGAUUUACCCCAGAGUACAGCUGAAGGGCUUUCCUCAGUCGUUCCAGCCACUCAGUAGGGCUUUCAUCUUUCUUUUGCAUUUCAUUAAAUGCUUUAUUGAUAUUCUGGCCACGGGGUACUGCUUCUCUAAUUCCC